Molecule: ribosomal RNA, 495 nt
Filed under: uncultured bacterium
Lineage: Bacteria
Description: partial 16S ribosomal RNA
Rfam family: Bacterial small subunit ribosomal RNA
Source: RNAcentral
GAUGAACGCUGGCGGCGUGCCUAAUACAUGCAAGUCGAGCGAACAGAUAAGGAGCUUGCUCCUUUGACGUUAGCGGCGGACGGGUGAGUAACACGUGGGUAACCUACCUAUAAGACUGGAAUAACUCCGGGAAACCGGGGCUAAUGCCGGAUAACAUUUAGAACCGCAUGGUUCUAAAGUGAAAGAUGGUUUUGCUAUCACUUAUAGAUGGACCCGCGCCGUAUUAGCUAGUUGGUAAGGUAACGGCUUACCAAGGCAACGAUACGUAGCCGACCUGAGAGGGUGAUCGGCCACACUGGAACUGAGACACGGUCCAGACUCCUACGGGAGGCAGCAGUAGGGAAUCUUCCGCAAUGGGCGAAAGCCUGACGGAGCAACGCCGCGUGAGUGAUGAAGGUCUUCGGUUCGUAAAACUCUGUUAUUAGGGAAGAACAAAUGUGUAAGUAACUGUGCACGUCUUGACGGUACCUAAUCAGAAAGCCACGGCUAACUACG